This 64-nucleotide transfer RNA is filed under the name Semelidae sp. STW-2017. Its description in RNAcentral is "tRNA-Pro". It matches the Rfam family "tRNA". From Rfam's summary of the family: Transfer RNA (tRNA) molecules are approximately 80 nucleotides in length. The record is from RNAcentral. Lineage: Eukaryota; Metazoa; Mollusca; Bivalvia; Cardiida; Semelidae.
CAGGUUAUAGUUUAUUUAAAAUAUAGGCUUUGGGAGUCUAUGAUUCUGGGUUCAGAUGGCCUGA